Molecule: ribosomal RNA, 207 nt
Filed under: uncultured bacterium
Lineage: Bacteria
Description: partial 16S ribosomal RNA
Rfam family: Bacterial small subunit ribosomal RNA
Source: RNAcentral
CGUGUAGGCGGCUUUUUAAGUCUGGAGUGAAAGUCCUGCUUUCAAGGUGGGAAUUGCUUUGGAGACUGGAGAGCUUGAGUGCGGAAGAGGUAAGUGGAAUUCCCAGUGUAGCGGUGAAAUGCGUAGAGAUUGGGAGGAACACCAGUGGCGAAGGCGACUUACUGGGCCGUAACUGACGCUGAGGCGCGAAAGCGUGGGGAGCGAACA